UACAGGGGGUGCAAACGUUGCUCGGAAUCAUUGGGCGUAAAGCGCACGUAGGCGGCUUGUCACGUCGGGUGUGAAAGCCCGGGGCUUAACCCCGGGUCUGCAUUCGAUACGGGCUGGCUAGAGUGUGGUAGGGGAGAUCGGAAUUCCUGGUGUAGCGGUGAAAUGCGCAGAUAUCAGGAGGAACACCGGUGGCGAAGGCGGAUCUCUGGGCCAUUACUGACGCUGAGGAGCGAAAGCGUGGGGAGCGAACAGG
Molecule: ribosomal RNA, 253 nt
Filed under: uncultured bacterium
Lineage: Bacteria
Description: partial 16S ribosomal RNA
Rfam family: Bacterial small subunit ribosomal RNA
Source: RNAcentral